UACAGUUCCCGCCACAGAAGUUUAUCUCCAGAAGACAGGGAUAGGGAUGCAGAGCGUGACAGGUCUCCAUCUCCCAGAGAGAGAAGAUACUCUGAUGACAGCAGGUAUGAGGAAUAUUCAAGAAGGGACUACUAUGAUGAUAGAAUUUCAGAUGGAAGAAGGAUGGAAAGAGAGCGAGACAGACACUAUGAGAAAUGGGGGGAGAGAGACUCUGAUCGAAG
Non-coding RNA from Tinamus guttatus (white-throated tinamou), 221 nucleotides. NCBI's taxonomy places the organism in Eukaryota, Metazoa, Chordata, Aves, Tinamiformes, Tinamidae. The record is from RefSeq and is a predicted model, not a curated record.